This 539-nucleotide ribosomal RNA is filed under the name uncultured bacterium. Its description in RNAcentral is "bacterial SSU rRNA". It matches the Rfam family "Bacterial small subunit ribosomal RNA", at positions 969 to 1509 of the family's 1533-position model. The record is from RNAcentral.
CCUUACCUGGCCUUGACAUACUAAGAACUUUCCAGAGAUGGAUUGGUGCCUUCGGGAACUUAGAUACAGGUGCUGCAUGGCUGUCGUCAGCUCGUGUCGUGAGAUGUUGGGUUAAGUCCCGCAACGAGCGCAACCCUUUCCUAUUUGCCAGCGGGUUAAGCCGGGAACUUUAAGGAUACUGCCAGUGACAAACUGGAGGAAGGCGGGGACGACGUCAAGUCAUCAUGGCCCUUACGGCCAGGGCUACACACGUGCUACAAUGGUCGGUACAAAGGGUUGCUACCUCGCGAGAGGAUGCUAAUCUCAAAAAGCCGAUCGUAGUCCGGAUCGCAGUCUGCAACUCGACUGCGUGAAGUCGGAAUCGCUAGUAAUCGCGGAUCAGAAUGCCGCGGUGAAUACGUUCCCGGGCCUUGUACACACCGCCCGUCACACCAUGGGAGUUUGUUGCACCAGAAGUAGGUAGUCUAACCGCAAGGAGGACGCUUACCACGGUGUGGCCGAUGACUGGGGUGAAGUCGUAACAAGGUAGGCGUAGAUGA